This 218-nucleotide ribosomal RNA is filed under the name uncultured bacterium. RNAcentral's name for it is "partial 16S ribosomal RNA". It matches the Rfam family "Bacterial small subunit ribosomal RNA", at positions 524 to 737 of the family's 1533-position model. The record is from RNAcentral.
AACGUAGGACACAAGCGUUAUCCGGAUUUACUGGGCGUAAAGGGCGCGUAGGCGGUCGUGACAAGUCACUUGUGAAAUCUCCGGGCUUAACUCGGAACGGUCAAGUGAUACUGUCGGACUAGAGUACAGAAGGGGCAACUGGAAUUCUCGGUGUAGCGGUGAAAUGCGUAGAUAGUCCGAGAGGGAACACCUGCGGCGAAGGCGGGUUGCUGGGCUGA